GCCUCGCGCCGUUCGGUUGUGUUCUCUGUGGAGUGCCGGUCUGAGUCGCGCGUCUGCCGCGGUGUAGCUCUGCGACGUGUGCCGACACAGCGGUCGCGCCUCCACUGGAUAAGCUCUCACCACGAUCCCGGGCGCCACAGCGCCGUAGUCUUGUAUUCUGCAUUUUGUGAAAGUGCAGUGAAAGCAGCAUCGUGAAUCUCUGAAAAUCCAAGACAAUUAAAAACUGUCCGGAGGGCAACGCCAUAGGGCAACAACACCUUUCAUUUUCAGUUCGUUACGUUUCUUCUGCUCACAGGUAAAGCACCAUCGUUUCUCACAAAGUCUACUUGCACGUAAGUAUUCCUGACAGCAUUCACAUUUCUAGAGAAGGGUGGGAAUGAGGUGGUUAAAAUUUAAUGGUUC
Molecule: long non-coding RNA, 402 nt
Organism: Schistocerca serialis cubense
Lineage: Eukaryota; Metazoa; Arthropoda; Insecta; Orthoptera; Acrididae
Exons: 3
Source: RefSeq, a predicted model, not a curated record